UACGGGGGGGGCAAGCGUUGUUCGGAAUUACUGGGCGUAAAGGGCUGGUAGGCGGCCAACUAAGUCCGACGUGAAAUCCCAAGGCUUAACCUUGGAACUGCGUCGGAUACUGGAUGGCUUGAAUUCGGGAGAGGGAUGCGGAAUUCCAGGUGUAGCGGUGAAAUGCGCAGAUAUCAGGAGGAACACCAAUGGCGAAGGCAGCUCGCUGGGACGGUACUGACGCUGAGACGCGAAAGCGUGGGGAGCAAACAGG
This 253-nucleotide ribosomal RNA is filed under the name uncultured bacterium. RNAcentral's name for it is "partial 16S ribosomal RNA". It matches the Rfam family "Bacterial small subunit ribosomal RNA", at positions 524 to 776 of the family's 1533-position model. The record is from RNAcentral.